RNAcentral lists this transfer RNA (61 nucleotides) under Trichuris discolor. RNAcentral describes it as "tRNA-Leu". Lineage: Eukaryota; Metazoa; Nematoda; Enoplea; Trichinellida; Trichuridae. The record is from RNAcentral.
GUUUCUCUGGCAGAAUAAUGCAAUAAAUUUAGAAUUUAUACAUACUUAUCGGUGGGAAAUA